CCAAGCAGGCUACUGAGUUGGUCUGAUGGCAAAGCAAGCUAUUGGAUAAACUUAUGCAAGUCAUUUUCUUUUGAAUUUGAACAUAUGCAACUAUAGGUUGUGCAACCAGGAAUGCAAAGUUACAAAACUACUAUGAAUUUUCAUUUUGGCUGCGGGGUGGGGAGAAUUACUUACGAGUUUUUACACAACCAUACUUGACUUUUAAUAUAAAUUGAAUUGCGGACCAAUAUAUUCAAACAUGGACAGAAGGACUUAAAAGACAAAUUCUAAGAGCUCUCAGGCAAGCUUCAUAGACAUGCAGACAGAAAGGCAAGUUUAUCAGGAUCAUUCAUGCACUCACUGAUGUUUUUAAAACUGAACAAAAAACACCAUGCAUCAAUUUGGUGCAGGAUGGGAGCACCGAAUUUUCAUUUUUACACUGUGGACUUGGGAUACCUGAGGGCUGAUAAACAGAAAUUUACAACUUUGGAAGUUUUGGGUUUAAAGACAGAGAGAACUCAAAUCAAUACUGCCACUCUUGAAUUCAGUGGUGUCUUAGCAAACACAAUAUCCUCAAACACUACAGAGGCCAAGUCCAGACAAUACAGCCUACACGCUCCUCUACUCCUCUCACAGCAGUUGUAUUGAGAUCAUCAAUAAACUUUCCAAAUAGAUUCAGGACCCUGAAAUUAAAUUGUUGAAAAUCUUCCAUUUCAAUUAAUCAGUCAGACUUGAAGUCAAAUUGAAGACAGACAAUUAAAGGAAAAGCGCUCAGCUGAGGGCUUUUAAUCAUACUUGGUCAGGAAUUAUUAAAAAUGUUGUAGUGUUAUUAGUCCUCAUUUCUUACAGCCAGGUAUUAAUAAGAUGAAUCAUAAUAAACACCUAACACCUAUUUAAACAGGUAAUGCUUUUCAUUAUGAAAAGAAUAACAAAUCCCUUAAAGUGACACUGCAGUUAUCAGGGGCACCCAUGCUAAUUUAUACAGAGUACUUCACAGAACAUUUUAGCAGCCUGGGGCCAUAAUGACAUAGAUAGUUUCAUAUUCUCAAGGGGUUUUCUGAGAAAUUUGGUAGAUUUAAGAAUGGAUCAAACUUUGGAAUCAAAUUUGACCAAUAACAGUCCUUGUUGUGGUAUAUCUGCCUCCUCGAUUCUUGUCAUCAAGGAGCUCAACAGUGGAAAAUCCAGCCUCAGAACAGGGUAUAUUUCACCAUCAUACCCAACAAUAACACCUGGAAACGAAACAAACACAGCCCAAGGUGCACCCAGGUAUGUUUGGAAAGUAGUCUUAAUUUUCUUGGUUUAAUAUUCAUUCACAGAAGG
Molecule: long non-coding RNA, 1299 nt
Organism: Pezoporus flaviventris
Lineage: Eukaryota; Metazoa; Chordata; Aves; Psittaciformes; Psittacidae
Exons: 2
Source: RefSeq, a predicted model, not a curated record